Molecule: ribosomal RNA, 510 nt
Filed under: uncultured bacterium
Lineage: Bacteria
Description: partial 16S ribosomal RNA
Rfam family: Bacterial small subunit ribosomal RNA
Source: RNAcentral
GACGAACGCUGGCGGCGUGCUUAACACAUGCAAGUCGAACGAAGAGCGAUGGAAGCUUGCUUCUAUCAAUCUUAGUGGCGAACGGGUGAGUAACGCGUAAUCAACCUGCCCUUCAGAGGGGGACAACAGUUGGAAACGACUGCUAAUACCGCAUACGAUCUAAUCUCGGCAUCGAGGAUAGAUGAAAGGUGGCCUCUACAUGUAAGCUAUCACUGAAGGAGGGGAUUGCGUCUGAUUAGCUAGUUGGAGGGGUAACGGCCCACCAAGGCGAUGAUCAGUAGCCGGUCUGAGAGGAUGAACGGCCAAAUUGGGACUGAGACAAGGCCCAGACUCCUACGGGAGGCAGCAGUGGGGAAUCUUCCGCAAUGGACGAAAGUCUGACGGAGCAAAGCCGCGUGAGUGAUGACGGCCUUCGGGUUGUAAAGCUCUGUUAAUCGGGACGAAAGGCCUUCUUGCGAACAGUUAGAAGGAUUGACGGUACCGGAAUAGAAAGCCACGGCUAACUACGUG